RNAcentral lists this ribosomal RNA (1246 nucleotides) under metagenome. RNAcentral describes it as "bacterial LSU rRNA". It matches the Rfam family "Bacterial large subunit ribosomal RNA", at positions 1636 to 2910 of the family's 2925-position model. The record is from RNAcentral.
ACUGCCCCGUACCGCAAACCGACACAGGUAGUCAAGGAGAGAAUCCUAAGGUGCUCGAGUGAAUCAUGGCUAAGGAACUAGGCAAAAUGGUCUCGUAACUUCGGGAGAAGAGACGCCAACAGCAAUGUUGGCCGCAGUAAAUAGGCCCAGGCAACUGUUUAUCAAAAACACAUGGCUUUGCAAAAUCGAAAGAUGACGUAUAAGGCCUGACACCUGCCCGGUGCUGGAAGGUUAAGAGGAGAUGUUAGUUUCGGCGAAGCAUUGAAUUGAAGCCCCAGUAAACGGCGGCCGUAACAAUAACGGUCCUAAGGUAGCGAAAUUCCUUGUCGGGUAAGUUCCGACCUGCACGAAUGGUGUAAUGAUCUGGGUACUGUCUCAGCCAUGAGCUCGGUGAAAUUGUAGUAUCGGUGAAGAUGCCGAUUACCCGCAACGGGACGAAAAGACCCCGUGAACCUUUACUAUAGCUUCACAUUGACAUUGGGUAAUUCAUGUGUAGGAUAGGUGGGAGACGUUGAGGCUGCAUCGCCAGGUGUAGUUUAGUCGUCCUUGAAAUACCACCCUUGAAUUAUCUGAUGUCUAACGCUUACUAGUCGUAAGCGAACAUUGUGUGGUGGGUAGUUUGACUGGGGUGGUCGCCUCCAAAAGAGUAACGGAGGCUCCUAAAGGUACCCUCAGCACGCUUGGUAACCGUGCGUAGAGUGUAAUGGCAUAAGGGUGCUUGACUGAGAGACCGACAAGUCGAUCAGGUAGGAAACUAGAGCAUAGUGAUCCGGUGGUUCCGCAUGGAAGGGCCAUCGCUCAAAGGAUAAAAGGUACUCCGGCAUAACAGGCUGAUCACUCCCAAGAGCUCACAUCGACGGAGUGGUUUGGCACCUCGAUGUCGGCUCGUCACAUCCUGGGGCUGGAGAAGGUCCCAAGGGUUGGGCUGUUCGCCCAUUAAAGUGGCACGCGAGCUGGGUUCAGAACUUCGUGAGACAGUUCGGUCUCUAUCUGUUGUGGGCGUUAGAAAUUUGAGAGGACCUGCCUCUAGUACGAGAGGACCGGGGUGGACGAACCUCUGGUGUACCUGUUGUGGCGCCAGCUGCAUCGCAGGGUAGCUAUGUUCGGAUGAGAUAAGCGCUGAAAGCAUCUAAGCACGAAACUCGCCUCAAGAUGAGAUUUCUUUUAAGGGCCGUGGAAGACGACCACGUUGAUAGGUUACAGGUGUAAAGACAGUAAUGUCAAAGCCGAGUAAUACUAAUUACCC